Meleagris gallopavo (turkey) is the source of this 1070-nucleotide non-coding RNA. The record is from RefSeq and is a predicted model, not a curated record. NCBI's taxonomy places the organism in Eukaryota, Metazoa, Chordata, Aves, Galliformes, Phasianidae.
GCAGACAUUUCCACCUGGAGAUGGGGCCCUUGCUCAGCCAAGGACUACAGAGCCAAAGUUGUUGGAUGCUGAAUGGCACUGUCCAGCAUUGCCAGAGGACACAGCAGAGGAGCACAGCGAUGUUAACAUGGGGUGUUAUUGGUCACACAGCAGCCUCACUCUUUGGGUCCCAGUAUUUGCAUGGACAUAGCACCACAGCCCACUGCCAAUGAGGACGGGUCAACAAGAAAUUAGAAACGUUGGAACAGGAGUUUAAACACGACAGUCCAAGUCUCAGAGCAGGACUCCAUGGUCACAGCCACAAGUGCAGUUUGAGCCAUUAGGCUGAGGUCUCACUAGCAAGCAGUGUUCUUCAGAAAAACCCAGAGCAUUCUCUGUUUUCUUGAAGUUUCUGUGCAAGCACAGCACUCUUACUGUGCAAUUUCCUAGUGUAAAGAGAGAAGGGCUGCAUUUUCUUCUUUGUUUCCUGAUAAAGCUUGGACCUGAAUUAACAUUUGCAUUAAAUUACAGUAAGUAGACACAUCCACUGAGGAAGCUGGGUCUUCAUUCUUCUACAAGAGGACAAAGACACAUCUACACACUAUUUAUUUACUAAUAUGUUGCUCCAGGCAAGUUUUCAUCAGUCAUUCUGAAGACCAUUAUAGAACAGGUGAGUGUUAUCAGAAGAUAACUUUUGGGUGGAUAUUUCAGCCAGUGCCAGGAAGUCAUCUGUAUGCAAUUUUGGAAGCAGAAACUCUGUUUGUUAAGGAUCCCUCACAUUCAACAUUCUGAGUAAUUGUAUGCAUAAUUAUCCAUCAUACAGAACAGAGUUGUAAUAGUUUUACUGGAUGGAAAGAAAGCAUCUCAAAAGUAGGGAGCAAUUACUGCAAAGUUAUCCAAAGAUGGAUAAAUUUAUCCCAGAAACUGGAAGCAGAGGAAAAGCUAUAAGCUGUGUACUCUUCCAUUUCCCUCACAAAUUGUGACUCCAACAUCACAUUUUCUCUUUGUUUAAACAAUCCCCAGAAAGAGCUUUAAUGGUGUCAGAUAUUUUUGCAUUGCAAAGAUAAAAACUGGCCUUUCUGCAUUUUGUU